RNAcentral lists this ribosomal RNA (253 nucleotides) under uncultured bacterium. RNAcentral's name for it is "partial 16S ribosomal RNA". It matches the Rfam family "Bacterial small subunit ribosomal RNA", at positions 524 to 776 of the family's 1533-position model. The record is from RNAcentral.
UACGGAGGAGGCAAGCGUUAUCCGGAAUUAUUGGGCGUAAAGCGUCCGUAGGUGGUUUAGUAAGUCUGCUGUUAAAGCGCGGGGCUUAACUCCGUAUCGGCAGUGGAAACUACUAGACUAGAGUGUGGUAGGGGUAGAGGGAAUUCCCAGUGUAGCGGUGAAAUGCGUAGAUAUUGGGAAGAACACCGGUGGCGAAAGCGCUCUACUGGGCCAUAACUGACACUGAUGGACGAAAGCUAGGGGAGCGAAAGGG